Molecule: ribosomal RNA, 253 nt
Filed under: uncultured bacterium
Lineage: Bacteria
Description: partial 16S ribosomal RNA
Rfam family: Bacterial small subunit ribosomal RNA
Source: RNAcentral
UACGUAGGGGGCUAGCGUUGUCCGGAUUUAUUGGGCGUAAAGAGCGUGUAGGCGGCCAGGUAGGUCUGCUGUGAAAACUCGAGGCUCAACCUCGAGACGUCGGCGGAAACCAUCUGGCUAGAGUCCGGAAGAGGAGAGUGGAAUUCCUGGUGUAGCGGUGAAAUGCGUAGAUAUCAGGAGGAACACCAACGGCGAAGGCAGCUCUCUGGGACGUUACUGACGCUGAGACGCGAAAGCGUGGGGAGCAAACAGG